AUAUUACUUAUUUUUAAACAGAUAAUUAGUUUUUUGUCUUUCUCAUAAACAAAUACAAUAACAAUUUGGUCACCUUCACUGUCCAUACUAGGGGAGACACUAGUGGAUUUAAUGUCAACAGACUUGGUUGCCGACCCAAAAAAAAAAAGACAAGAGAAAUGGAUCUGUAUAUCCUAAAUAAUUAGUGUAAAAUCAUAGCAAAUACACAGAUAUCUGUUCACUUAUUGGAAAUACCAGG
Long non-coding RNA from Melanotaenia boesemani (Boeseman's rainbowfish), 238 nucleotides. RefSeq lists it as uncharacterized. Lineage: Eukaryota; Metazoa; Chordata; Actinopteri; Atheriniformes; Melanotaeniidae. The record is from RefSeq and is a predicted model, not a curated record. The transcript is spliced from 2 exons.